RNAcentral lists this long non-coding RNA (687 nucleotides) under Ananas comosus (pineapple). RNAcentral's name for it is "long non-coding RNA (ACOM_LNC007156)". Lineage: Eukaryota; Viridiplantae; Streptophyta; Magnoliopsida; Poales; Bromeliaceae. The record is from RNAcentral.
GCAGCUGUUCGAUAUGGAUUGAGUUGUUUACUUGCAUAUAGGGGUGACAAUUCAGCUCGCUGCUCGCGAGCCCGCUCGUGUUGGGUUCAAAAUGAGCUCAAGAUCGAAUCACUCGUUUAGUAAACGAGUCGAACACGAGUUGAAUUUUUCGGCUCGUUUAAUAAACGAGUCGAACACGAGCUGAGGUUAGCUCACUCGUGUUCGGCUCGACAACAGCUGGAAUACAUAUAUUUUAUAUUUAUAUAAUUUAUUUAAUUUAUAUUUUUAUAUAUAAAUAAAUAAUUAUAGAUAAUAUAUAAUUUUAUUAUUUAAUUUUUAGUAAAAUAAAAAUAUAAAUUCAAACUUAAUUAUAAAAAGACUCAUUUAUAUGUAAAGUUUUAACUAUUAGAUCAAAGUUUAAUGGAUAAGAUUUUAUAAAUUUAUUUUUUAUGCAUAUUCAAUCUAAUCCUUAUUAAUUUAUUAUUCGUUGGCCAGCUCGAGAGCCAGCUCAUGUUCGGCUCGUUUAUUAACGAGCCGAAUACUAGCUAAACUUUUCGGCUCGACACUUUAACGGAUCAGCUCGUGUUCGGCUCAUUUAUUAAACGAGCCGAACACGAGCCGGCCCCAGCUCACUCGUGUUCGGCUCGAUUACACCCCUACUUGUGUAUUUAAUUAGAAGGGGCCGGAUCAGUUUGAUAUCCAUCGAAC